Aethalodelphis obliquidens (Pacific white-sided dolphin) is the source of this 1580-nucleotide long non-coding RNA. RefSeq lists it as uncharacterized. NCBI's taxonomy places the organism in Eukaryota, Metazoa, Chordata, Mammalia, Artiodactyla, Delphinidae. The transcript has 3 exons. The record is from RefSeq and is a predicted model, not a curated record.
CCUUAUCAACAUUUGGUGGUGUCAGUGUUUUGGAGUUUAGCCAUUCUAAUAGUGAGUUGUUACAGAGGCGGCAUGCAGCCAGAGCAGCGAGAGUGGUACCGCCAAGCUCCUUCCCGGGGAACUACACUCAGCUUCUCAGCAUCAAGCCACGAUAGCUUUGAACUGUGUCUGUGAGCAUCUGUGCUUCAUCUCAAUUCAUUUUGUGCAUCUGUUAGCAAGAUGGGUCCCGAGGUAAUUGCUUCUUUGUUCACACCUUUUCGGCUUACGGAAGUUUUACAGGAACGCUCUACUUUCAGAUAGUGGGGGAAAACUGUACCUAAAGGUACAAAUUUGAGGAACAGGUAAGGUGGCGACCCAGAUAGCCUGGACAGACUAGAAUUCAUCCUAUUGGGUCAUGAGCUCAAGAAGCAACUGCUGUGGAGUUUCUCUAACUACACAUUUCCCCCCAAAUCGGUGCCCACCGUGUAUCUGCUGCUCCUUCUCUAGACCAGCUGGAACAGCACCCCCAGUCUGCUGAAACCUAAGUCCCACCACAGGUUCCAGAUAAAGAGGCAUUAGGACUCCAAUAACCAAGCCCCUGUGGAUCAACUAAGAGAAGAGGAUGAUUCUGGAAUCCACAGAUAACCUUUCUUUUUCUAUUCCUGCCUUGAAGAAGUUUAGACUCUGUAGUCCUAGAAAUGCAGUUAGUGGAACUGGCAGCCUUGCACCCACCCCUAUGGAAAGAUAUACACUGAAGUAAAUACCUUUGGCACAAUGGCAUGGUUUAGGUGGUAUUUCAGAGGCAACAACAGGCAUCUGAGCAAUCUGCCAUCUCAUUGACAUUCUACCACAUGCCUCAAAAUUCUCCAGGCAGGCUCACCUAAAAAAUCUUGCAAGGCAUGUACUUCAGGUAAAUUCUAACUAUAAUUUAGGUGCAUUUGAGUGAUUCCAGACCUUCAGAUGUUAAUCACUUGGCAGGACAUAGAGUCCAAGAGAAGUGAUGUGUGAUGACUUGAAAAAGAUUUAAGCACUGAAUGGUUGAAAGGGUUCCUGUGAAAUUGCUUUACCCUCACUUAAUCUGGCUCUUAGCUUUUAAAAUCAAUUAAAAUGUACUUUAUUUGGAGAUUUUCCCUACAAAUACAGUAGCACAUGUGUAGCAUGUAGCCUAUUAAAUAGGUAGCCUAGGUAGAUAUUAAAUAGGACUUCCUAUCUUUCUGGGGAGCAUUUUUUUCCUGACUAUUUGGUAACAUCCUUUCCUUGAUCCCUGCAAAAUGUCACCGUUGAGGUCUAAUCCUCAUGAAGUUAAACACACUGAUCCUUCCCUUGGACUCCUUGUGAAUGAAAGGGAAGGCUUAGCCCGUAGAAGUUUUAUUUGCUUUGGGUAAGCUAUACCCCUAGAUGCAAAGAGUUAAAAGGGUGUUUUGCAUCUUCAGAAUGAAGUUUUGGAAAUACAUAAAGAACAAGCUCAACAUGUAUCCAAACUAGGGAUCUGGUGGAUUUGGGAUAAAACCUGGACUAUUUUGGAUGUACUACCAAGUAGACUUUUCUCUGAAUGAUGGGUUUUAUUUGAACUCCCUAAAAUAAAAUGCCUUUUAACUUUU